CCUACGGGGGGCAGCAGUGAGGAAUAUUGGUCAAUGGGCGAGAGCCUGAACCAGCCAAGUCGCGUGAGGGACGACGGUCCUAUGGAUUGUAAACCUCUUUUGUCGGGGAACAAAGGCGCCCACGGGUGGGCGGAUGAGUGUACCCGAAGAAAAAGCAUCGGCUAACUCCGUGCCAGCAGCCGCGGUUAUACGGAGGAUGCAAGCGUUAUCCGGAUUUAUUGGGUGUAAAGGGUGCGGAGGGGGGAAGUCAAGUCAGCCGUGAAAAAUCGGGGGUCAACCGCGGUCCAGCCGUGGAGCCGGGCAGGCUUGAGUGGGGGAGAGGGAGGCGGAAUGCGUGGUGUAGCGGUGAAAUGCGUAGAUAUCACGGAGAACUCCGGUGGCGAAGGCAGCAUACCGGCGCGCAACUGACGGUGAGGCACGAAAGCGUGGGUAUCGAACAGGAUUAGAUACCCUUGUAGUC
This 460-nucleotide ribosomal RNA is filed under the name uncultured bacterium. RNAcentral describes it as "partial 16S ribosomal RNA". It matches the Rfam family "Bacterial small subunit ribosomal RNA", at positions 338 to 795 of the family's 1533-position model. The record is from RNAcentral.